RNAcentral lists this ribosomal RNA (609 nucleotides) under uncultured bacterium. RNAcentral's name for it is "bacterial SSU rRNA". It matches the Rfam family "Bacterial small subunit ribosomal RNA", at positions 56 to 655 of the family's 1533-position model. The record is from RNAcentral.
UGCAAGUCGUACGGUAGCACACAUAGCUUGCUCUCGGGUGACGAGUGGCGGACGGGUGAGUAAUGUCUGGGAAACUGCCUGAUGGAGGGGGAUAACUACUGGAAACGGUAGCUAAUACCGCAUAACGUCGCAAGACCAAAGAGGGGGACCUUCGGGCCUCUUGCCAUCAGAUGUGCCCAGAUGGGAUUAGCUAGUAGGUGGGGUAACGGCUCACCUAGGCGACGAUCCCUAGCUGGUCUGAGAGGAUGACCAGCCACACUGGAACUGAGACACGGUCCAGACUCCUACGGGAGGCAGCAGUGGGGAAUAUUGCACAAUGGGCGCAAGCCUGAUGCAGCCAUGCCGCGUGUAUGAAGAAGGCCUUCGGGUUGUAAAGUACUUUCAGCGGGGAGGAAGGGUGUUGUGGUUAAUAACCGCAGCAAUUGACGUUACCCGCAGAAGAAGCACCGGCUAACUCCGUGCCAGCAGCCGCGGUAAUACGGAGGGUGCAAGCGUUAAUCGGAAUUACUGGGCGUAAAGCGCACGCAGGCGGUCUGUCAAGUCGGAUGUGAAAUCCCCGGGCUCAACCUGGGAACUGCAUUCAAAACUGGCAGGCUAGAGUCUUGUAAA